GACGAACGCUGGCGGCGUGCUUAACACAUGCAAGUCGAACGGAAAGGCCCUGCUUUUGUGGGGUGCUCGAGUGGCGAACGGGUGAGUAACACGUGAGUAACCUGCCCUUGACUUUGGGAUAACUUCAGGAAACUGGGGCUAAUACCGGAUAGGAGCUCCUGCUGCAUGGUGGGGGUUGGAAAGUUUCGGCGGUUGGGGAUGGACUCGCGGCUUAUCAGCUUGUUGGUGGGGUAGUGGCUUACCAAGGCCUUGACGGGUAGCCGGCCUGAGAGGGUGACCGGCCACAUUGGGAUUGAGAUACGGCCCAGACUCCUACGGGAGGCAGCAGUGGGGAAUAUUGCACAAUGGGCGGAAGCCUGAUGCAGCAACGCCGCGUGCGGGAUGACGGCCUUCGGGUUGUAAACCGCUUUCGCCUGUGACGAAGCGUGAGUGACGGUAAUGGGUAAAGAAGCACCGGCUAACUACGUG
RNAcentral lists this ribosomal RNA (468 nucleotides) under uncultured bacterium. RNAcentral describes it as "partial 16S ribosomal RNA". It matches the Rfam family "Bacterial small subunit ribosomal RNA", at positions 28 to 507 of the family's 1533-position model. The record is from RNAcentral.